GGCGUNCCUAACACAUGCAAGUCGGACGCGAAAGCUCCUUCGGGAGUGAGUAGAGUGGCGCACGGGUGAGUAACGCGUAGGUAAUCUACCUCUGGAUUGGGGAUAACUCUGCGAAAGCGGAGCUAAUACCGAAUGGUCUGGCUUUAUUUUGAUGAAGUCGGUAAAGGAUGCCUCUGCAUAUGCAUCUGUCCGGAGAUGAGCCUGCGUCCCAUUAGCUAGUUGGUAGGGUAAAGGCCUACCAAGGCGACGAUGGGUAGCUGGUCUGAGAGGAUGAUCAGCCACACUGGAACUGGAACACGGUCCAGACUCCUACGGGAGGCAGCAGUGGGGAAUAUUGGGCAAUGGGCGCAAGCCUGACCCAGCAACGCCGUGUGAGGGAUGAAGGCCUUCGGGUCGUAAACCUCUGUCAGAAGGGAAGAACGGGCAUAGUUCGAAUAGGGCUGUGUUUUGACGGUACCUUCAGAGGAAGCACCGGCUAACUCCGUGCCAGCAGCCGCGGUAAUACGGAGGGUGCGAGCGUUAUUCGGAAUCACUGGGCGUAAAGGGCGCGUAGGCGGCCUGGUAAGUCAGGGGUGAAAUCCCACGGCUCAACCGUGGAAUUGCCUUUGAAACUGCUGGGCUUGGAUCCUGGAGAGGGUGGCGGAAUUCCUGGUGUAGGAGUGAAAUCCGUAGAUAUCAGGAGGAACACCGGUGGCGAAGGCGGCCGCCUGGACAGGUAUCGACGCUGAGGCGCGAAAGUGUGGGGAGCAAACAGGAUUAGAUACCCUGGUAGUCCACACCGUAAACGAUGGAUACUAGGUGUUGGGGGCAUGACCCUCAGUGCCGGAGCUAACGCGUUAAGUAUCCCGCCUGGGGAGUACGG
This 862-nucleotide ribosomal RNA is filed under the name uncultured Desulfocaldus sp. RNAcentral describes it as "bacterial SSU rRNA". It matches the Rfam family "Bacterial small subunit ribosomal RNA", at positions 41 to 885 of the family's 1533-position model. Lineage: Bacteria; Deltaproteobacteria. The record is from RNAcentral.